Molecule: ribosomal RNA, 301 nt
Filed under: uncultured bacterium
Lineage: Bacteria
Description: partial 16S ribosomal RNA
Rfam family: Bacterial small subunit ribosomal RNA
Source: RNAcentral
CAGCAGCCGCGGGAAUACGAAGGGCGCGAGCGUUACCCGGAUUUACUGGGCGUAAAGGGCGUGUAGGCGGCCUGGGGCGUCCCAUGUGAAAGGCCACGGCUCAACCGUGGAGGAGCGUGGGAUACGCUCAGGCUAGAGGGUGGGAGAGGGUGGUGGAAUUCCCGGAGUAGCGGUGAAAUGCGCAGAUACCGGGAGGAACGCCGAUGGCGAAGGCAGCCACCUGGUCCACUUCUGACGCUGAGGCGCGAAAGCGUGGGGAGCAAACCGGAUUAGAUACCCCAGUAGUCCCUGUCUCUUAUAC